Molecule: transfer RNA, 75 nt
Filed under: Psychromonas sp. Urea-02u-13
Lineage: Bacteria; Pseudomonadati; Pseudomonadota; Gammaproteobacteria; Alteromonadales; Psychromonadaceae
Description: tRNA-Gly
Rfam family: tRNA
About the family: Transfer RNA (tRNA) molecules are approximately 80 nucleotides in length.
Source: RNAcentral
GCGGGCAUCGUAUAAUGGCUAUUACUCCAGCCUUCCAAGCUGAUAAUUCGGGUUCGAUUCCCGAUGCCCGCUCCA